RNAcentral lists this ribosomal RNA (253 nucleotides) under uncultured bacterium. RNAcentral's name for it is "partial 16S ribosomal RNA". It matches the Rfam family "Bacterial small subunit ribosomal RNA", at positions 524 to 776 of the family's 1533-position model. The record is from RNAcentral.
GACGUAGGGCGCGAGCGUUGUCCGGAUUUAUUGGGCGUAAAGAGCUCGUAGGCGGUUUGUCGCGUCGGCUGUGAAAACUCGGGGCUCAACCCCGAGCCUGCAGUCGAUACGGGCAGACUAGAGUGCGGUAGGGGAGACUGGAAUUCCUGGUGUAGCGGUGAAAUGCGCAGAUAUCAGGAGGAACACCGGUGGCGAAGGCGGGUCUCUGGGCCGUAACUGACGCUGAGGAGCGAAAGCGUGGGGAGCAAACAGG